UACGGCAGGCAGCAGUGAGGAAUAUUGGACAAUGGACGAAAGUCUGCUCCAGCCAUGCCGCGUGCAGGAUGACGGCCCUAUGGGUUGUAAACUGCUUUUAUACAGGAAGAAACACUCCCACGUGUGGGGGCUUGACGGUACUGUACGAAUAAGGAUCGGCUAACUCCGUCCCAGCAGCCGCGGUAAUACGGAGGAUCCAAGCGUUAUCCGGAAUUAUUGGGUUUAAAGGGUCCGCAGGCGGUCUAUUAAGUCAGAGGUGAAAUCUUGCAGCUCAACUGUAAAAUUGCCUUUGAUACUGGUAGACUUGAGUCAUUGUGAAGGGGUUAGAAUGUGUGGUGUAGCGGUGAAAUGCAUAGAUAUCACACAGAAUACCAAUUGCGAAGGCAGAUCACUAACAAUGUACUGACGCUCAUGGACGAAAGCGUGGGGAGCGAACAGGAUUAGAUACCCUGG
This 453-nucleotide ribosomal RNA is filed under the name uncultured bacterium. Its description in RNAcentral is "bacterial SSU rRNA". It matches the Rfam family "Bacterial small subunit ribosomal RNA", at positions 340 to 790 of the family's 1533-position model. The record is from RNAcentral.